Molecule: long non-coding RNA, 1205 nt
Organism: Poeciliopsis prolifica (blackstripe livebearer)
Lineage: Eukaryota; Metazoa; Chordata; Actinopteri; Cyprinodontiformes; Poeciliidae
Exons: 3
Source: RefSeq, a predicted model, not a curated record
UCUGUUUAACACUUCAUUCAACACAUACAGUCUGGCUUCAUAAGAAGCUUAAAUUAUUUACAAAAGAUUUUCUGCUUUACUUGAACUUGUAAAUAACUAAUAAACAAAGCAAAUGAUAGUUGACAUCAGAAAUAAAAAGCAUGUAAAAAAAUAGCAUGUUCCACACAACAAAAGAAAACAAGACCUUGGCAGCUCUCACCAAAAGCCUAAAUAUUUAGUUUUUUGUUCUUAUUAUAUGUAUAAUUUCUUCCCACCACAAAGGUAGAUGCAUCAAGAUUUCUUCAACUCAUGGCAGGGGUAAUAUUAAAACUUGUCCACUAGAGGGAGAGCUGGAAAGGACAUCAAGUUUUAGUCCUAAAACAUAUCCGACAACCCACUGACACAAAAGCACUUCAAUGCACUUUGGCUCUAUAUUUCAAAGCUGUACAGGAUGAAGUCAGUUUUUGUGUACAUGGAAUAUAAAUGAAGCACAGAGAAGUGAGAGGGUAGCAGCAGCUGAUACAAACAUGAGAUAAAUGAGAACAGAAAGGAGGUGGAGCUGUCAAAAACACAAGGACAACCAGUGCUUUCAGUCGUACAUACCGGCAGCAUCUGGGAUGAGACGGCAAUGAGAGAGACAAGAGAAAAGCAAUUAUGAUGACAGAUACAGAUCCAAAACAGGAGCCUCAAGGAGGAGACGAUCCACGCAGUCGUGCCCACACAAGUUUGGUGGUCGUGAUGCUUAUCGCCAUCAUCUCGACAAUGACCAUUGUCGCUUUCUUGAUCUACAAGAGAUCUCCUCGUCCCUUCCCCACCUUUGACAAUCCAUUGUACUUCAAUGGCGAAAAAUCUCAGCCUGAUGUGGUCGACACCAAUACAUUGAUCGAGAAUGCUGAAGUAUCCGAUAUCUCCCCAGAAAAUCCAGAGCCCAUUUUAAUUCUGUGAUUUAGGAGUUUCCAGAAGUUGAAGUUGUGCAAACUAGUCUGAGAUAAAUUUUGUGUAAACACAGCUAUGCUUCAGUAUUUUGUUUUUAUUGCAAACAAUAAAUAUUCAGUAAUUUAACAAUAACUGUAUUUGUUCUUUCUCUACCUAUGACAGAAUGUAUAUAUAAUUGCUACAUGUUAAGCUCUUUUUCUACAUGCUGUUUAUUGCUUUUACUGUUUGAAUGUAAAAUGGAGGACACACCCUGUCAAUGUUCAAAAAAGACAUUAAACUGUUCAUGAUGA